This is a long non-coding RNA of Myiozetetes cayanensis, 9431 nucleotides long. RefSeq lists it as uncharacterized. The transcript is spliced from 8 exons. Lineage: Eukaryota; Metazoa; Chordata; Aves; Passeriformes; Tyrannidae. The record is from RefSeq and is a predicted model, not a curated record.
UUCACUGAUGUCACCACUGCUGCUUUGUGUCUGUCAAACCCUGCCAUCAGUCAACACUUAAUUCCUUUGCUUGUUUAUGAAGCUGAACACUUUAAAAACUCAGAGUGCCUGUAACUGCUGCCCUGGCAGAGGGACUGGGAGGUGUCUCAGGGCUGCUCAGUGCCUGCCACAGAAGAAACACUGGGGAUUUCUGAGUCUCCAGGCUCCUAAUUUAUGAAGGAGGUUAAUGCACCUGGUUUGGUGCUGUUUCAGAGCCAGUGCCUCAGUGCUGGACACACAAAACCCUGGCCAUCAGUGGCAGGAAUGAUGCACCAUCAGGGAAUUCCCAGCACUUCCUGCAUCCUCCUGUGGGCAGCAUUGGCAAGGAAAUGGCUGCUGAUCAGCCCAGCAGGCACAGAGUGCAAGGGUCUGUUGGAAAAUAAUUUAAAUAAAUUGGCACAUACGAACCUUGAAGGAAACCUAAACAACUUUGGCAGGUAAUGGGAAAAAUGUUUCUUAAAACUGCCAAGUUGCCACUGCAGAGCCUUCGGCUGAUGAGCUGCUCUCUGGCUCAGUGGAAAUCGACUGCUCCCAAAUCCUUGAGAGCAAAUCACUGGAUGUAACGUGGAAAGGCUGCUCUUUGUUGGGAUAUGGGGAGAGUUUGUGGAGAACAAUAGUAUUUAUUUACAGAUUAUUUAUUUACAGCCAAGGUUGGCUGUGUGGUUCCAUAUUAGCCCUGCCAGGUGUUGGUGUUUGGAGGGAUAAGGGUGUGAGGGAACUGUGCUGGAAUGAGAGGUGACUCUGGGUUCUCUCCAGGGGGAUGCUGCCUUAUCCAAACAAUCAAGGUAGGAAGUCACAGGAAAUCCCUGCAGUGGGUAUCUGCUGGCUGGAAUCUCCAGGAAGGAGGAGCACAGUUUAUUUCCAUAGGAAAUGAGAAUUCCCUUUUUUCUUCUCUUCUCUUUCUAUCUUUCUUUCUUCUCUUUUCUCACAUGAGAAAGUCUUCUUUGAGAAGGGUUUGUUUAACUCAGCUCAAAGCUCUCCAGGUACUUGAUAUCCUGGCACUUCUGUGAUGUUCCAGCACUGCAUUAAACUGUUCCAUUUUUAGUCCUGCAAGCCCAAGUGUGCAAAGCAAAAUCCUUGCGUGGGGCUUUAUCCCCCAUUCCCCCAGUGUUGGGGGGAACCCCAAAAGGCCCAGCUGAGCUCUGCAUCUGCCAGUUGUGUACAGAGAAAACAGCAAUUAGAGGAGGGGAAGAAGAAGGAUGACAAAGCUUUGACAUGUUAUCGUUCUCCCCGCUGGGAAAUGAUUAUCCAGAGGGAGCUGGAGCUGUGGGAAGCCACCCAGCCAUCCUUCAAAACGGGAAUCCUUGUCACUCACUGCAGACCCCAUUCCUUUCCUGGGCUGGGGUGUUUCAUUUAUUUCAAUUAAUGGGCAUGCUUGAGCUCAGAAAAUAUUCACUUCUUGCUUUAUUUUUUCCCUUUUAGUGUAUUUUAGUGCCUGUGACUUGUGCCAGCAUUGGUAUUUCUCACCAUGAUGUGUCUUCUGUGACAGGGAAGGUCACCCAAGUGGAGAUGCAUCGUCCAUUUUUCGAGGCACUGUGGGGUUCUCAGCCCUGCCUCUGUCCCACUGCUGCUUGUCUUGUUCCCAUGUGCAACUCCCAAUUAACACCCAUUAAUUAAUAAUGCCGGGGGGUGGGGCUCUUCCAUUAGCUGUUCCUGGUUUCAGCAGGGAUAAAUCACACUGAACACUGAGGGGAUUGUGCUGGUCCAUGAUGGAGGACAUAAAAAAUACACUAGCAGAUUUUAAAUAGUCAUAACAUUCAUAGAAGAUUUUGUAUAGUGAAUAAAACUGCUACUUCACUUCUUUGUGAAGCACUAACAGGGCUCUGUGUGCCUUGGGCUCAGUGCAGGGACGGUGAUCAGCUCAUGGAGAAAUAGCUGAUUGGUCUUGUUUUACAGUUUAAUUGUUUGCAGGGUUUGGCAGUGGAGUUUGGCCUUUGGAAACUGUCAAUUUGAAAUGUAUUGGUCUGUACAAAAUUGCAGAUGAAAGGUUGAAUGCAGUUAUCCCCCAUGGGGGCAAACACUUGGUCACUGAAGUCAGGAAUCCACAAACUCCAUGUAUGAUCACAAACAGGAGCAUUUCUGGUUUACAGAUCAGCUCCUAAAGUGAAAAUAUAUGAUUUUAUUCCUAUACUACUCCCACUUUCAUGCAGGAUCAGGUUUCCCAUUGCUGAGGAAUAUUUCUUUUCAGUUUAGGUAAUUUUUUUUAUAGGGAAAAAAAAAUACUUCUUUAUGCUGGGAGCUGCUUUACAAAUGGAAAAUUACCUUUCUCACCAUCAGCUUUUCCAAGUCUUUUGCAAAGAUAAAUCAGGGACUCUAUUUCAUUUUAACUAAUCACAUGUUAUUCCAGUUUUGUAGAUUAAAUACAGACUGGCAGUGGGACUUCAGAAUUCACAGUUUCAGGGUUCCUGAAAUCAUCUUGAAAGAAAGAAAUUGAAAUGAUUUCUUGUUUCCCACCUUGUGUUGCUUUGAUUGCAAACUCUUGGCAGGGCAAGAGGAGAUAAAUUGAUUUUCAGGGAAUUCCAUUUAAGAAUUGUUGGAGUUUGGGUGUUUAGGAACCUCUUCCUACCUCAGCCUUUCCAGCUGUCCAGGAAUUAUCAUCAGGAGGAAGGUACAGCAUUGCAGAUGUCCAAACUGUGAGUUGAUCACGUGUAUCAUCUGCACCCACCUCAUCAGCCAAAAAUUAGGAAAAGCAAGGUAAGCAGUUGAGGAAACGUUCCCAAAAUUGCCAUGUGCUGUCUGCCCUGCUGGACUUCAGUGUUAUUUAAAUGUCACCCAAAAAAUAUGAUAUUUGAGUAUGAUAAAUGAGAUGCCCAUUGCAGUGAGCUCACACACCUGAAAGCAAAUACUGCUACCCAUGCAGUUCUUAAAUGGCAUUUCAGAGAAUUGUAUCACUCAGAAUUCACAAUUAUGCAGACAAAAUAGAUCAUUCAAAAAGGGAGUGAUUGGGACACAGUAUGGCUUUUUUUUUUUUUCAGAUUUGGUGCCUGUUAUGUUUUUAUUCCAUCCUCCUUUGUCCUGAUUUAGUGGAGAUAAUUUGAGCCUGGCUGCAGCUUCCUGAGGAAUCCCUUCUAGUUCUUUCUCUCUGAUGUGUUGCACACAUCCCUUCUCCCCACCUUCUCCUAACCCCGUUGAAACCCCUUGCUGAGAGAACCAGAGGUUCUACAAAGUUCCCUGUGCCUGAGAGAAUCAUUGGGAAGCAAGAGGCAAAGUGCUGAAAAGGCCCAGUGCAGGUGCAGCCGAUUGCAGUGGGAUGUGUGUGCUGGGGGGUCAGCAGGGCUUGCAUUUGGAAGGCUGCAGCACCAGGAUUAAAGCCUCUUCCUCAGCAAUUUUUCCUGGAGGAAAAUGAAGAUAUCCUGGCCCAGGGCUCCCUUCCCAUGGCGUUUUACUUGGAGGCAGGAGGAAGUUGCUGGAGGUAUUUGGACACUCUGCUUUAAUCAGUUGCUGUCUCUCCCAUUUUGCUCAUUACCAGAGUGAUGAGCCCUGUUAAAGCCCCUGUUAAAUCCUCAAAGAAAAUGUUCCUUGCACCAAAAGAGCCUCAGCAGAACAGACUGUUUAAGCUUUAUCCCCAGCAGUUUAAAUAAGGCAUUACCUCUCCCUUGUCUGAGGGGAUGAGCAGAGCUGGAAUUCAGCAGGUGGGAGAUGCAGGAUCAGCUUUGGAGCUGGCUCAGUAACAGCUCAGUGUGUGAUGGUGCUGGGUCCCCCUUUCAAACCCGCAGUGAUUUAUUUAUUUUUCAAAGAAAAAUGAUGCCCUGUUUUGUUGAAGUCACGUAUGGAAGCAAAAGGAAAGAUAAAAUAGCAAGAGGAGGCACCACUUCUUUCUGCUGAUGAGGCAGCUGAUGGAUGGCUCUCUGGGGACCUGCCUGAACUCGCUGUUCUGCCCACCAAAUGAAGAUAAAUCAUUGGUGAAGGGUUUGUGGAGUACAUGCCCCAAAUCAAUUAUGCUCAACAUGGAGAUCUAUUAAUCUAUUCCUUCCUGUUCCCUCUCCCCAGCCUCCUUCCAGUGGCUUGUUAUCAUUCCAAACACAGGGUAGUUAACUGGUGGUACGGUUAGCACUGAAAUCAGAGUUGUGAGGAGUCCUUUCACCCCUUCCCUGUGCUCUGCCCAAUCACCUUAACUCAGGUUUAUAAAUUGCUCCUCAAAAACUCCCAGAGUGUCUCCAGUGAAAUGGUCCCAUGGACACCGACCUUUCUGCAGGGCCUUGGUGGGUGUUGUCACCUUUCCUUGGAAACACAAAGAUCCCUGUAUGGAGGAAAAACAAAUCAGGCAUAUUUAAGGCUGUAGAGUUGAAAACACUGCAAUGAAAAAGUCAUAUCCAGGAAAUUGUCUCCAUGGAAUGAUUUUUCGGGGAAAUGCAGUGGAGUUCAGAGCCAGACUGUAUUAGAUGCUCUCAGUUCCCAGGGAAAAAUAGUCCAUUCGUGGUCAAUGCCUAACCAAGGAAGAUGAGGGAGGCAGAGCAAGCAUUGAAAGGAGGGUAAAUAACAGCUGGGAAUUAAAAAUUUUAAAUUCUGAGGUCACCUUAUGUUUCUAAACCAGAAACAUUUCCAUGGGCAGCAGCUGACUCCAUCCCCCUCCUCCCACCUGAUAUUUCCCCACGUGAACAGUGUUAAGGUUGUUAAUCCAGCAGGUAGGCAGAGCAUUCCAAAUGAAUCCCAAAUCCCAGCAGGGAUCAGUUUCAUCCUGGCAGAGAAUGGCUGGCAUUAGAAUGACCCAGUAGUUCUGGUGACGUAAAGAGCAGCCUGUUUUAGGGUGAUUUUUGUGGCUGUAAGUUCAAGGAGCCAUGUAAAGCCCGUGAUCCCAUGAGAACAUAUUCCCUGGGAGAAUCCCCUGAAGGAUGGGAGGCACUGGGGCAUCUUUGCAGCCUCUAAGGAUGGAGAAAAAUCACCUUGAUUUGAAAAGGUGAUGCUUUGCAGCUCCACAGGUUGGAGCUUUCACCCAGACAUGCCCAGACCCCUGUCUGAGACCUCUGGGGUUGUCCUAGAAAGUGUUUGAAAUGCUGUUUUUGUCUUUGAGUAGCUCAGAGUUCCUGUCAAUAAAAGCCAGAGAUACAAAAGCAAUACUUGGAGUCUUUAGGAGCAGGGUUGCAGUUUCAUGGCUCUGAAUUUCAUUGACUUUCUAAACAGCAUUGAGCUUUUGUUGGUAAUUCAUUCCAAGCAAGUAGCCACUGCAUAAAUCCUUAGUUCUGUGAUAGAGCCCAUGCAUACAAAAUUAAACUGGAUGGAAUCUGUAAGGUUGGGGUGCAAUUUCCAGCUUUUAUGCUCAGCCUUUCUUCUGAUGGAAUUAAUAGAUGUUUGGGAUUGUUGCAGCUGCAGUCAAAUUCUGUAACGUAUUGAUUAGUAGUGUAUUGACAAAAAUUGGUCUCUUUGUUAACAAGAAACAACACAGUGAUUAAUAGGUUACAGAAGUUGUACACAGUGUGCAGACAGAUGUUUGAAGAAGUGAAGCAUCCCAGACAAUCAAUUAUGAUGGAAACAGGAGUGACAUUUUCCAGCUCAGUGUUGAGCAGCAGCAGCAGAAAGUGACCCUGGUGUUUUAGGGAAGGACUAACUUAUUUUCAUUCUGUUCUUGUUUAUUGUUAUUAUUUUUUUUCAAUUUAUUUAUUAUUAUUAUAUGAAUUUGUUGAGUGGAUUUUCCAGCCACCAAGAAAAGGGCUUUUCUCAGGUUGUACCAUCAGGAAUUUCUGAUUCCAGGUAGAUCCAGUUUGGCAGAGCAAGCCCUGAAACUGCCUCCAGCUCUCUGAUGUGAUCCAAGUCACACCUAUGUUUGACAUCAGCAUGACAAGAGAAGGAAGUCUGGUUUAAAUACAGGAAAAUGACUUCAGAAUACAUUACAUGAGCUUUAUUUAGUGUAAGGAAUUUUUUUCUGCGUGAAUUCACAUGGGAAAGCGCUGUCAGUGAGGAUGUUACUGUUUUCCUGCCUUUUUCAAUCUGCCACAUAAAACCACAAAGGUUAUUGUUGUUAAGAUUUCCAGUUUGUUUUCUCCAUUUUCAGAUGUCAUUCAGAGAAAGAAGCUCUACAAAGGGUGCCCAGGACAGCUUUUAAUGGGAUGGGAGCCCUCCUGCCCAGGCAAUGAGGCUGUUUCUCUCCUCAGGAAGAACAAAUCUGCUCUUGGCACUGAAGAUGGAGAAAUAACAAAGGAAAAGAAGCCCAGAGGAUUUGUUCAAAUGAACAAGGCAAUUUCAGGUUGUAUAUAGUUAUAUAUCUGAAAACUCAAGAUUCACUGGGUAAAUGAAUGUGGUCUUUUCUUACUGUAAUUUAGAGUUUUGCUGGUUGGGUUUGGGUUCCCAGAAGUGACCUGGGAAUCAAUGGGUCAGGUUAGAGGGGCACAGACGUGACCCCGUGUGUUGGAGUGACCGGGGCAAGGAGCAAACAGUGAUCUGAAAUGUGUUGCUGCUUGUGCUUUUACCCCCUACAGCAGUAAUUUAGGGUGAUGGAUUUUAAUCAGUGCUUUGUGGAAAUAGUUAAAGUCCCAAAAUGGCUUCUGUCAAACUUGCCUGCUUUCAGAUACCCAGAACUUCCCCUGGCAGCACGGAUGGUCUGGGUUUGACCUAGACCCAAAGCACAUUUCUUGGCCUGGUGACUUAGUUUUAUGCAUUGUUUAAAAAAAUAAAAAGCCUUGGCUUCCUUUGAGUCAUGACCAUCAUAAAAACUGCACUUUGGGUUACACUUUAUGAGGUAAAAUUGCAAAUUUCCUGUCCUUGGCUUUCCACGAGAGACCGGUUAAGGUUGAACCUCCAGACCUGCCCCAGAGCCAGCCACGUCCUGUCCAUAGUUCCAUGUGUUUAAACUUCCCCUUCGUGAGGACCCACCAGGAUGAGGAUUUGCAGGUCUCAUAAAGCAAUUUUCUAUUUUAACAGCUUUGAAAAAUAACCCAGUUUUACAUAUUCAACAUUCUGAUGUUAAAAACAUACAAUGUUUUGAACAAAGGAAGGUGAUUGUUUCUCUUUUUUAAAUCCAGAUGAGGUGGGCUGUGAGUAACUUCGAUGGCAAAUUAGUUGUAGAUGGUUUCUGCUGUUUUUUGCAAUGGCUGAGGAGCCAAUUUCUCUUGUAGCUGAUUCUGGCAGGUUUGUUCCACUUAAUGGUAAAAGGUCAAUUGCAUGAGAAUAAAAAGGAAGAAAAAAUCUGAAAUGGCAUCUUUGAACUAGACAGACAGUGAAAUUAAAAUUCUAAAUGGUUGAUAGGAGGCUUGAAGUGUCCCCUGAACAGAAGACUAAAUUCGGUCACCUCCUUUAUGGAAGAAUCUUUUGUUGAAGGUUGACUUUUCUAUCUUUUUGCUGAAUUUCCAUCGGCUAUUUCAUUGUCUAAUUACUGCUGGUAAAAGUUAUUUAUUUCUUUUGUCUAACAGCCCUAUCUGCAAGUUCUGUGCCCUCCUUGACCACAGAAAAACCUCUUCCCUUCAUUUCAUUGCCUAUAUUAUAAGCACACUCAGUGUUGUUUCCUUUGCAUCUUGAUUUCAGCAAUAAAUAUUGCCUGGAACUUUAGAUCUAAUUAUUGAAGUCACUUGGGAAUCUCCUACAUGCAUAAAGAUGAUCAAAACCCUUAAUUUUUGUUUAUAGUCUCAGUUCUAAUUAAUGCACAUCUUUGUCUUAGAAAAAUUACCCCCUUUCUGAUAUUUUUUGCAUGCUUUAUAGUUUGGGAUCAUCUCUGUGUUCCAUCAAUAUCCAAUUGGAUUUUUUCCUCCAGUUCAUUAAUAAAGAUAUUAAAUUGUAGCAGCCAGCACAGCAACAACCACUGCUGGAUCUGUUGUUUCCCCUUCAAGUCUGUACCCUUUUGUUUCCUUCACAGUUAAACAUUUCCAGUGUUUGUCUCCACAUUGAUCAGGUAUGGUCUUGCCUGAUUCCUGACUUUAAAAUGUCCUGGCUAUGAAAUUUUAGUCCAAUUAAAAACAUCUUUCUCCUUCUCCCUCGUUCCCCUUUUCCCCAUCCCAGCAAAUGUUUUUCCUCAUUUGUAUUUUUUGCAAAAUAAUUUAAUUUCAUCCAAAUGUUCGAUCUCUGCCAAAGCCGAGAGGGACCUGAAGUGGAACACAGGGGUGAGAGGUGGGAGUAUCCAUGGAAACAACUUCCCUGCAGAUGUUUGGAUAUUCCUGGAACAUGGUUCUGGUUCACACCUGACCAGCACAGCCUGAACUCUGUUUGGUGCCAUAGUAGGGAAGAGAUUACAUUUUCCUCCAUGUUUCCUUAUCUCAAGUUGCAUCCUUAGCUCCCUUCUCUCCCAUUUUGCUCUGUUUAUUUUAAAGCAGCUCUGUUAAAUCCUUGCCUUAACCUUUUAUCAUUCCCUCUCCUUGACCCUGAGCUGAUCCACAGCAAGGACUGCAGCCAAACCCAGCCUGACUGAGCCAGCCAGCACUUCCAGUCAGGAACAUCAUCCCUGGGAUUACAUGGACAAGGAGAUGAAAAGCAACCAGAACUGAACAGCCCAACAGCCUUCUCCCAGUGCAGCCCUCAAGAAGGUGAUUCAGUUCUUUGCUUAUUGGACUUGGUCAGCUUUCCAGGGCUGAAGCAGAAUCUGAUGGAAUGACAGAGCUCUGUGGCAGCUGCAGAGCAGGGCUGGGUUUCUGAGAGGAGCUGUCCUGCACGGAGAAUCCCUGGGAUCUGCUGGCUGCCCUGGAGAGGGAGGGCAGUGUCCCUGCCUGGCCACCUCAGGGCUGUUUCCCAGAAGAUGGAGCUCUUUCCCCAGCACUGCUGAUGGACACCCUGUAGGUUCAGUAUCAUAUCAAAUAUGGGCAUUCUUACAGAUGGCAGAAUUAUUCUUCAGAGCUGAGAGAAAGGAGCAAAGAAUGCACAUGAUGACCAUAGUUAUUUUAUUAUAAAAGACAAGUCUGAGUUAUUUUUUUAUCAGUAACUUCUGCUUAACAGUAAUAAUGAUACAUGGAAUUAUUGAAGAGUCCAGAUGCCAACCUUGUUUUUCCCUUUGAAGCUCCACGUGACUCUUGGCAGGUUUGGGUCUUUAAAGCUUUGCCAUUUUCUUGCGUUUCUCCCUUGAUUGGAGGGGUGGUGGUUUGUUUCACUGACAGCAGUCGCUCCCUUCGUGCUGGAAGCAAAUCCGUAACUUCUCUGGGUGCAGGGGGGUCUUUAUUUCUGCUGUGCUUUGCUUUCCACCUCUGAAUGACAAAGCUGAGAGGGGCAGAAGUUGUCAUUACUGACCCCCAGAAGUGUCUCAGCCCUGCUGGUUUGGCUGCUGUGGACGUUGUGCCUCUCAUGUCAUCGCUGUGGCUCGGAUCUCGUUUUUACAGCUCACGUGUGUUAUCUGAGCUGCACAAGAGAUUAAAAAGAAGGGAAGUUUUAUAAGCACUGACAUGGUUGUCAUGACUACCUAAACCACUUUGCUGGUACCGUACAAGUCUUUCACUUUAUCUGUGGCUUUUAUAUUAAAAAACACCUUUUUUUUUUUUCUU